Non-coding RNA from Gorilla gorilla gorilla (western lowland gorilla), 148 nucleotides. It matches the Rfam family "Metazoan signal recognition particle RNA". Rfam says of the family: The signal recognition particle (SRP) is a universally conserved ribonucleoprotein. It is involved in the co-translational targeting of proteins to membranes. Lineage: Eukaryota; Metazoa; Chordata; Mammalia; Primates; Hominidae. The record is from Rfam.
GCCAGGCGUGGUGGUGCGUGCCUGUGGUCCCAGCUACCUGGGAGGCUGAGGUGGGAGGAUCGCUUGAGUCCGGGAGUUCAAGACUGCAGUGAGCUGUGAUCAUGCCACUGCACUCCAGCCUGGGCAACAGAGCAAGACCUCAUCUCAA